Long non-coding RNA from Dromaius novaehollandiae (emu), 2558 nucleotides. RefSeq lists it as uncharacterized. The transcript has 2 exons. Lineage: Eukaryota; Metazoa; Chordata; Aves; Casuariiformes; Dromaiidae. The record is from RefSeq and is a predicted model, not a curated record.
UAUAUAUACACACACACAUAGGCAUACAUGUAUAUACAAAAGUUGUACCAUAGCAGCAUCUUUUCCCUUAAACCACAGCUAGCAGAGCUGCGUUUGUCUCUGACAGUUGCGUUUCCACAUUAGCCUUUCCUAACAAGGGGCAUUUAAGUAAAACAAGGAAAAGGCCAUUUCAUAAGAUGUGACUCAGAGGAAGAUUUUAGUGUUUCCAUAGCGAAUAUUGUUGGAAUUUUUCUCGGGAAGAUUGUGGACUAUGGCUGCGGUUUGAAGCCCUGUACAAGGUGCCGUGCAGAGAAAACGGGUCUUUAAAGCAAAGCUGGGAAGUUGUCAGAAACCGGCGGAGCAGCAUCUGCCAGUCCGGUGGGAGAAGCUGCCUGGAGACGGGACCGGACGAAACCCGGGAGGAAGGGGGGAACGGGCCUGGAGGUGCCGCAGAGGGUGACGAAAGGAAAACGCUGAAAUCCAGACGCGGGAAAGGGGGAGUCCGUGCGUAACAGGUGACAACUUAUCUAUAACGUUGUUAGAGGAAAAAGAAAGUAGAGGGGACAGCUGGAACAGAGCGAGACAAGAGAAACGGGAAGGAAAGGAAAUACCCCGAGAAAGGGGAUGGGCAGGAGAACGCAAAACCCUUAAAAUGGCUGAGAGCCGGCGCGGUUACACGCUCUCCAAAGGCCUCGCGGGCAGGCGGCAGCGCUCACGCUCGUCGUCAGCAGCGCGGUGCCGAGGCUGGUCCGCGCGGUCGGGGCUGGGGAAAGGGCCCCCAAGAGCCCGUGUUGUCUUCACUGCCCCUUUUACAGCUUUAAAAACUGGAUUUCUGCCUAAAGCAGCCUUCGGUGGCCUUGGUAUCUUUUUAGCUUCAAACAGUUUGUUUGAAAGGUGUGCGACAUUUAACACCAAGUGUGUUGUGUCCCUGCGUUACCAUACCACCUGCGAACAGAUGAGGGCGCGAGACCUGGACGCAUUAGACCGAUGCACCUGCGUUUGCGCGCUCGACCCGGGUCUGUUCUUGCCCCUCGGUUACCGACAGCUCCCGCGGCAGCCGGCGGGGCGGCUCCGGCGGAGGAUGCCGGGACCCGGCCGGUCCCAGCGGAGGAUGCCGGCUUCGCGCCCGUCCCCCGGUUCCCUUUCGGGGUCCUUCACUCAGCAGCUCCUGUGUUCCAAAGGGACCAGGAAAAUCGUUACUUUUAGACAGGGAGUUUCACCUGUAUUGGGCUGUUCUGCUACUUCGAUUCCGGUUGGGAGGCUCUUCCUUGCAGACAGUGAGGAAGAGCUCCGUGUGCGGGAGGAAGAGCGCAAGCAGCGCAUCCCCGCCGCGGGGCAACCGGCUCCGGCGGCCCCAGAACCGCGGGCGAACGCCGGACGCGCCUUCUAGAGAAACAGCCUCCGGGCGGGCGGUUUCCCAACUGCGGAGGGAGAACAAGACGCCGAGUACAGCAAGUUAAAGAACCGAUCGUGCGGAACUCAGCACGCGGGGCCGGAGCUGCAUGCGGCAGGGACGAGCCCCCCGCCUCACACGUCUCCCGAAGGCCGCCGGCGUCAGUACAUCAGGUCCGCGGCUCCAGCACUCGCCCCCGCGUCCUUCGGUUUCGAGAACGGGAACUGCAGGCCGGCGACGCGGGCGAGGCCGGCGUUGAGGAGCUGCACCAAGCAGCAGGCCAGGACGACCCAGAAGGCGCUGUCGAACUGCUCGCUGUGCGUCUUGAAGGUGAAGCUCCCCUCCUUGAAAUUGGCGAUCUUCUCGGAGAGGUGGUGGACCUUCACCUCCGAGGAGAAGAGGACCAGCACCAGGCAGCCGCAGGAGCCUGCGAGGGGGCGGGAGGCGGGGUGACGGCGGGCCGGCGGGUGCAACGCGCUGCUGCCCCGAGCACGCACGAGGCCGCGGCCACCCCCAGCGCCGAGCCCCGCGCCCGGAGCGAAGCCAAGCCGCCCGCCCCGCGCUCACCGGCGACGAAGGUGCAGAGGUAGAGGCCGGCGGGGCCGUGCAGCGCCCGGCGCGGGCUGCCCAGGGCGUUGUAGGCGAAGAGCCCCGUCGCCGCCAGCGCCGCCGCCGCCGCCGCCGCGCAGAAGAGCACGACGCUCACGUGGAUGCUGGCGGGGAUGGCGCGGAGCAGCUCCGGGAAGACUGCAGCGGGAACCCCAAGCGUCACCGCGGCCGCCCGGAAAAGGGAAACACAGAAACGUUAGGCACGGUUUCCGGUCGGACGGGACGGUUUUGGCAGCCUACGCGCUGAUCUGACCGGCGCCCUUCCACGUGCAGCCAGAGACGACAAUUAAGUCGUCGGACGUGCAAUUAGCGAUCGAUUUUGGGGUGGUUUGAGGGCAGAUGCGCUCGGAGCAGCCGGAGCGCGGCCGGGCCGGGGGGAGCCGCCGACGUGGGCCAGCGGGUGAGUUUGCAUCGCUGGCGCUUGCCUGCUGACAACAGGCACCGAACUCUACCUUUGAUACCACGCGUUUGUAUUGCUUGUUUUAAGAAACGAUGCGGCUGCUUUGUCCCGACUGUUUCCCUUGGCGCCUGCAUUUAGAGGGCUUUUUUACACGCCAUUAAAAUUUUAUGGCUGACA